UUUAUGUGAUUCAUAUUCCAUGGAGCAAUACAUUUUGAUUUUCUAACCACACCUCAAUUCCAAAUCUCUUAGUAUUACCUGUUAUGUGGGAGUGAAAACAAAAGCGUAUAUGAACCAGUCAGGACAAAGUCUAUCUUAAUUCCAUGUCUAUUCACUACACUGUGUUAUUAACUGUGAGCGUUGAACACACCCCAAAUCCAGUUUUAAUACCCAGCUAGUAGCCAUUUGCAGCAGAAGGGGAAUGGCUUGACAUGGCCCAGAGCUCCAUGCAGCUAUAACAGAGCAUGUGAAGAGCAGCUAAAGGAGGAGGGGCUUCGGUUUGAGUGUGCGCGCUGUGGAAAGCUGGUGAGAAAAUACCCAAGAGAGCAAGAGGCAGGAAGAUGCUGCUGUUGCCAGGGAACAGUAUUGAAGGAGAAACGACCAUGUUGUCCAACCAGAGGAUCACAACAUCAUAGAUCCAAAUCAAGUGAGUGAGACUGGACCAGAGCAACAGCUUCGAUAUUCUUAGAUCUUCUACCAAUUGUUUCACGAAUAAGGAAAAUCUGCAAACAGGAAGCUCUGAUUUUGAUCGUGCUCGGCUCCCACCUGUGAAUGUAAACAGACAGGAGUGCUCUGGUCUGCUGUGAGGAAGAGGAGGAGGAACAGGAUCUCGAGAAUCAAGAAGGGGAAAAUCAACCAAACCGACGGAAUAAUUCUCCUGAUAUAACGCUUCAUUGAGCUGCGUCCCGUCCUCGGUCACAGAGGAUGGGAACAGCAGAAGCCACUCUCCGCAUGGACAGUAUGGAAGUGAAGGACGAGUGGCAGGAUGAAGACUUCCCCAGGCCACUACCAGAAGAUGGGGAUGGCCUCACAGACAACAGAACCAAUCCUCCCUCUACUCUGAACAUGGGAGAGACAAUGGCGCAGAGGAAACGGCGCACCCUGGUGGCCCCUGAUAUGAACUUGUCCUUGGACCGCAGUGAGGGCUCAGUGCUCUCCGACGACUUCCUAGAGACUCCGGAUGAUUUGGACAUCAAUGUGGAUGACAUUGAGACUCCUGAUGAGACAGACUCACUGGAGUUCAUCAACAAUGGCAAUGAACUGGAGUGGGAAGAUGACACUCCGGUUGCCACAGCGAAGCGUCUGCCUGGAGACAGUGAGGAAGAGCGCGACUCUUCAGGAAAACUGUGGCGCACGGUGCUGAUAGGUGACCAGGAGCAGAGGAUUGACAUGCAGGUCAUACGGCCGUACCUGAGAGUGGUCACCCACGGAGGUUAUUACGGUGAAGGUCUGAACGCCAUCAUCGUGUUCUCAGCCUGUUAUCUUCCUGACAGUAACUGUGAGGACUACACAUACAUCAUGGAGAACCUCUUCCUAUAUGUUGUAAGUAGUCUGGAGUUACUUGUGGCAGAGGAUUAUAUGAUCAUUUACUUGAAUGGAGCGACACCACGUAGGAGGAUGCCCGGGAUCAGCUGGCUCAAGAGAUGCUACCAGAUGAUUGACAGGAAGUUGAGGAAGAAUCUGAAGUGUCUUGUCAUCGUUCACCCAACGUGGUUUAUCAGGACUGUCAUAGCCAUCUCCCGACCUUUUAUCAGUGUGAAAUUCCUAGAUAAGAUUCGUUAUGUUCAGACCCUGGAGGAGCUGAGUCAGAUCAUCCCCAUGGAGCAUGUGCAGAUCCCCGACUCUGUGCUGCAGUAUGAUGAUGACAAGAUCAGAGCACAAAAGGAAAGACUUGACCAGGAUAAGCAGGCAAAUCCAAUACCAGCCAAGGAAAGGGAAUAACACCUGUCCAAUAAUAGACACUACCAAGAUGCCAAGAAGUAAAUAUAUCUAGCUAUAUGAACUCAUCUUUACAUAUUUGGCCAUUGUAAACAUGUUAAUAUAGUAAUCGAAGUAAAAACAACCCUAAUUCUACAGAGAGCCUGAAAAGUUAUUGACUGUUGCUGUAAUUAGUCUGACCUGCAUCUCUAGUGAAAUCAUGUGAGGGUUGCAGAAAGCAUAGCCUAAUAUGGACUUUCUGAUGGUUUGUGUUUAAUGUGUGACUUCCAGGCCCAAGUCGAUGAUCGCUGACGUGAGCCGUGACAUCUGACAUUCAGAGCACUGGGCUGAGGACCUUCAGGGCUGAUCUCAAACAUCACCAUGAAUGUGUUGCACCAUCUCACAUUUCCUGAUCUGACCAUUGGAAUCAGGACAAUCAUUUUUGAGGCAUUGGUUUUAAUGACAUGCUCACUUUCAUCAUGACAUUUAAUUUGUACCAAAGUAUUAGAUCCAUUUCACAGUUUCUGCUCGUCGCAUGUCAUCUUCAGUUUACUUAUAGCAUGGCUUUAAUUAGAUAAACAAGAAUCUAAACACUAGAGGUCUGACAUAGUAUUUGAAAUGUACAUAUUGUAAAAUAUUUUGGGAACGCUGUUUGCACAAAUGUUUGAUUUUAAAUGUUUUGGUAUUGUUUAGUUUUAAGUAUCUUUUAAAAAUCAUGUGCAAUGAAAAGGACCUUUUAGACCAUCUAUAGAUGUUACUGAUGCAAAAUGUGUUCUCCAUCAUUGGAUAUGCAGGUGGCAUGCUCGUUUAUGUCGUCUGUCCAGUUUCUCUGCCAGGUUUUGUCAUUUGUCAUCAUGGUUUGCCAAUUAUUUUACAAUAAGGAAAAUAUUGUACAUUAUAGAUGAAAUGAAAGCUAUAUUUAAGGAAAGCAUCAUUGAUGAAAGUCUUAUUUAUGAAAAAGGUGCCAUUCGGUGUUUGUAUGAAAUAAAUGUAAUUUGGAUUGAC
RNA transcript from Periophthalmus magnuspinnatus, 2742 nucleotides. It is a transcript of the gene named ATCAY kinesin light chain interacting caytaxin b, with no coding region annotated. Lineage: Eukaryota; Metazoa; Chordata; Actinopteri; Gobiiformes; Gobiidae. The record is from RefSeq and is a predicted model, not a curated record. The transcript has 14 exons.